GUGUACAGCCACACCAUCCUGCAUGUGCCCCGUCUCAUCUGAUCACUGAAGCUAAACAGGGUCAGGCCUGGUUAGUACUUGGAUGGGAGAAAUUCAGUAACAUGCACAUU
Molecule: ribosomal RNA, 110 nt
Filed under: Nannospalax galili (Upper Galilee mountains blind mole rat)
Lineage: Eukaryota; Metazoa; Chordata; Mammalia; Rodentia; Spalacidae
Source: RNAcentral